This 104-nucleotide ribosomal RNA is filed under the name Acanthosepion pharaonis. Lineage: Eukaryota; Metazoa; Mollusca; Cephalopoda; Sepiida; Sepiidae. The record is from RNAcentral.
ACUACAUCACGUUGAAACACUAAUUCUCGUACGAUCACCGAAGUUAAGCAACGUCGAGCCUGGUCGGUAUCUAGAUGGGUGAACGCUUUGGAAUACCAGAUGCU